Molecule: ribosomal RNA, 494 nt
Filed under: uncultured bacterium
Lineage: Bacteria
Description: partial 16S ribosomal RNA
Rfam family: Bacterial small subunit ribosomal RNA
Source: RNAcentral
GACGAACGCUGGCGGCGUGCUUAACACAUGCAAGUCGAGCGGAAAGGCCUGCUUUCCCUUGUGGAUUGCGGGUACUCGAGUGGCGAACGGGUGAGUAACACGUGAGUGAUCUGCCCCCAACUUGGGUAUAAGCCUGGGAAACUGGGUCUAAUUCCCGAUAGGACUGCAGGGUGGUGCCUGUGGUGGAAAACGAUUUUCUAGUGGUUGGGGAUGAGCUCGCGGCCUAUCAGCUUGUUGGUGGGGUAAUGGCCUACCAAGGCGGCGACGGGUAGCCGGCCUGGGAGGGUGGACGGCCACAUUGGGACUGAGAUACGGCCCAGACUCCUACGGGGGGCAGCAGUGGGGAAUAUUGCACAAUGGGCGGAAGCCUGAUGCAGCGACGCCGCGUGGGGGAUGACGGCCUUCGGGUUGUAAACUCCUUUCGACCGCGAGGAAGCCACCUGGUUGGAAGGGUGGUGACGGUAGUGGUAGAAGAAGCACCGGCUAACUACGUG